RNAcentral lists this ribosomal RNA (348 nucleotides) under Chalastonepsia orientalis. Its description in RNAcentral is "partial 16S ribosomal RNA". The record is from RNAcentral. Lineage: Eukaryota; Metazoa; Arthropoda; Insecta; Diptera; Mycetophilidae.
AGUAGUUUUUUAAUUGGAAACUUGUAUGAAUGGUUUUACGAGAUAUUAGCUGUUUCAAUUAAAUUUAAAUAGAAAUUAAUUUUUUAGUAAAAAAGCUAAAAUUUAAUUAAAAGACGAGAAGACCCUUUAGAUUUUUAUAUUUUUAAUGAAUUAAUUAAAUUUUAUAAAAUUUAAAGUUUUAAUUUAUAGAAUAUUUUAUUGGGGUGAUAGUAAAAAUUUUUUAUCUUUUAUUUUUAUUUAACAUAAUUUUAUGAUUAUUUGAUCCAGUUUUAUUGAUUAAAAGACUAAAUUACCUAAGGGAUAACAGCGUAAUUUUUUUGGAAAGUUCAAAUUUAUAAAAAUUUUUGC